RNAcentral lists this ribosomal RNA (253 nucleotides) under uncultured bacterium. Its description in RNAcentral is "partial 16S ribosomal RNA". It matches the Rfam family "Bacterial small subunit ribosomal RNA", at positions 524 to 776 of the family's 1533-position model. The record is from RNAcentral.
GACGAACCGUGCGAACGUUGUUCGGAAUCACUGGGCUUAAAGGGCGCGUAGGCGGCCCGCGAGGUCGGGGGUGAAAUGCCACGGCUCAACCGUGGAAGGGCCUCCGAUACCGGCGGGCUGGAGGGAGGUAGGGGUGCGCGGAACUUCUGGUGGAGCGGUGAAAUGCGUUGAUAUCAGAAGGAACGCCGGCGGCGAAAGCGGCGCACUGGACCUCUACUGACGCUGAGGCGCGAAAGCCAGGGGAGCAAACGGG